AACGAACGCUGGCGGCAGGCUUAACACAUGCAAGUCGAGCGAGACCUUCGGGUCUAGCGGCGGACGGGUGAGUAACGCGUGGGAACGUGCCCUUCUCUACGGAAUAGCCCCGGGAAACUGGGAGUAAUACCGUAUACGCCCUUUGGGGGAAAGAUUUAUCGGAGAAGGAUCGGCCCGCGUUGGAUUAGGUAGUUGGUGGGGUAAUGGCCCACCAAGCCGACGAUCGAUAGCUGGUUUGAGAGGAUGAUCAGCCACACUGGGACUGAGACACGGCCCAGACUCCUACGGGAGGCAGCAGUGGGGAAUCUUAGACAAUGGGGGCAACCCUGAUCUAGCCAUGCCGGGUGAGUGAUGAAGGCCUUAGGGUUGUAAAGCUCUUUCAGCUGGGAAGAUAAUGACGGUACCAGCAGAAGAAGCCCCGGCUAACUCCGUG
This 433-nucleotide ribosomal RNA is filed under the name uncultured bacterium. RNAcentral describes it as "partial 16S ribosomal RNA". It matches the Rfam family "Bacterial small subunit ribosomal RNA", at positions 29 to 507 of the family's 1533-position model. The record is from RNAcentral.